AUUGAACGCUGGCGGCAGGCCUAACACAUGCAAGUCGAGCGGGGUUUUCGGACCUAGCGGCGGACGGGUGAGUAAUGCGUAGGAAGCUGCCCGAUAGAGGGGGAUACCAGUUGGAAACGACUGUUAAUACCGCAUAAUGUCUACGGACCAAAGUGUGGGACCUUUGGGCCACAUGCUAUCGGAUGCGCCUACGUGGAAUU
This 200-nucleotide ribosomal RNA is filed under the name uncultured bacterium. Its description in RNAcentral is "partial 16S ribosomal RNA". It matches the Rfam family "Bacterial small subunit ribosomal RNA", at positions 30 to 242 of the family's 1533-position model. The record is from RNAcentral.